AGAGUUUGAUCAUGGCUCAGAACGUACGCUGGCGGCACGCCUAAUACAUGCAAGUCGAACGAAGUAGCAAUGCUUAGUGGCAGACGGGUGAGUAACAUGUGGGUAUCUUCCCUUUGGUGAGGAAUAACACGAGGAAACUUGUGCUAAUACCUCAUAAGUCUUUACAGAGAAAGCUUUAUGCGCCAUUGGAUGAGCCCGCACUUGAUUAGUUUGUUGGUGGGGUAAUGGCCUACCAAGACAAUGAUCAAUAGCUGAUUUGAGAGGAUGAUCAGCCACAUUGGGACUGAGACACGGCCCAAACUCCUACGGGAGGCAGCAGUAGGGAAUCUUGCACAAUGGAGGAAACUCUGAUGCAGCGAUGCCGCGUGAGUGAAGAAGGCCUUUGGGUUGUAAAGCUCUUUCGUCGGGGAAGAAAAUGACUGUACCCGAAUAAGAAGGUCCGGCUAACUUCGUGCCAGCAGCCGCGGUAAUACGAAGGGACCUAGCGUAGUUCGGAAUUACUGGGCUUAAAGAGUUCGUAGGUGGUUAAAAAAGUUGGUGGUGAAAUCCCAGAGCUUAACUCUGGAACUGCCAUCAAAACUUUUUAGCUAGAGUAUGAUAGAGGAAAGCAGAAUUUCUAGUGUAGAGGUGAAAUUCGUAGAUAUUAGAAAGAAUACCAAUUGCGAAGGCAGCUUUCUGGAUCAUUACUGACACUGA
This 696-nucleotide ribosomal RNA is filed under the name uncultured bacterium. RNAcentral's name for it is "bacterial SSU rRNA". It matches the Rfam family "Bacterial small subunit ribosomal RNA", at positions 8 to 749 of the family's 1533-position model. The record is from RNAcentral.